AGAGGGUGACACUCCCGUCCGCCUGGCAGAGUGAGUCAUUUGGUCAACGAGUCGAGUUGUUUGGGAUUGCAGCUCUAAUUUGGUGGUAAAUUCCAUCUAAAGCUAAAUAUUGGUGGGAGACCGAUAGCGUACAAGUACCCGUGAGGGAAAGAUGCCAAAGAACUUUGAAAAGGAGAGUUAAAGAGUACCUGAAACUGCUGAAACGGAAGCGAAGGAAACCAGUGUUUGUUGUUCAUAUUCCCUAGCUACUUGUGGCUUGGGCGCUGUGGGCUUGCGUGAGUUUGGGUUGGUUGAUUCCUUUGGAACGAGCGCAGUCAGAGUUGAUGUCU
Molecule: ribosomal RNA, 329 nt
Filed under: Pseudo-nitzschia multiseries
Lineage: Eukaryota; Bacillariophyta; Bacillariophyceae; Bacillariales; Bacillariaceae
Description: partial large subunit ribosomal RNA
Rfam family: Eukaryotic large subunit ribosomal RNA
Source: RNAcentral